CCGAAUAACCGCUCAAACCUCUCGCCCGCAGAGAACAAGACGAUGGUAUUUGGACUCAACCUGGAGGUGUCACCCAAAGUGUCUUCGUCGUGGAUUCAGAAGGAGAUUCGUUUCCCGAAUGGCACCAAUGAGAUAACCAUCUGCAUGAACAUCCUACUGCGGUUCAAACUCUGCAGCAGAGUGGCGUUCUUCACACUCAACAAGAGGAUUGCGUUUAUAAUGGAGGAAACGAACACAAUUCUCAUCCAGAAGUCUCGUUUCUACGUCGGACCCACAUCAGUCACGCCCAGAGUCAAAAUAAUGGUCACGCCCUUCGCCUGGAGCCACGUCUGCGUCAUGUUUGGUACUAAUCCCUCGGUCUAUCGAAAUGCACAGCCAUUCCCUAUUGUGCCAGCGUCAGGAACGGAGGAGCCUUUUAUUGAUUUCAGUAUACCCUACAACGCGUCAGCCAGCGUUCCCGAUGGUCUCUACCCAGACAAAACAGUCGGGGGAUUCUGCGGUUAUGCCACAAUCCCUAACGUUUUCGCGAGGCGUCUCACAGCGGAAGAGGUUGGUCGUUGAUUACUAUAACAUUCGCAGUUUUAGAAUCUGGCCUACUUAUACAAGACUCUUGGACGUUAUCAUUUUUAGAAUCUGACUGAUCUAGAUUGGACUAUCUUGUGUAUUUUCGGUUUCAGGAUCUGACUGAUCUACUUGGGACUCUCUUGUGCAUGUCCAGUUUCAGAAUCUCACUGAUCUAGAUAGGAUUCUCUUGCUUGUCCGUAAGAGUAAGUCUUUUGUCAGUUGAGAAGUACUUUGUCUACUGAAAUCACGAGGACUCACACCGAUCAAGAAGCAAUAUUUUCUUAAUCACCUGACCCAAGUUUCAGUGUCUCUAGAUAGUUAAGCUGUGUUCAAGAGUGUAGAUUUUUUAUCGUCAUCACUUAUAAGACUAUUCUCUCCCUUUUCAGCGGUAAGAAUAAAGGGCACCUUUCAAAGAAUCCGUUUUCUAUGCGUUGAAAAUACGAUAUUACAUAAAUCUUCAUGUAGGUUCGAGGGAAUAUAAAAUGGCCAAGUAAGUUACGCCAACGGAAUGCCUGAGGUAUUUUACUGCAGUUUCUUAUGACAGUAGACAUAACAUUAGGAAAACGAAGUGAAAAUUCAUCUCGUCUGCUUUUUCAAAUCUUUGGGUAGGCGAACGAGGUAUUAUUUCUGACUGAACAAGUCACUCAUUGAAGCACUUCCUCGAGCAGAAGUAGAAAAUUCUGGAAAACAGAUAAUUUAGAAAAUUCUGAAAAAAAAUUAAUGGAUUUUUUAAGAGCAGAAAAAUGUAUCUAUACCCUUUUCAAUGCCAAAAAAAUAUCGGAUGUCAGUGAAGGUGCAUUGACCCAUCACUAAUUUUUUUUCCGUUUUUUUUUUCUGUAAUAAUAUUGAUAUCACACUUGACACUUGGUUGUGGUGAUUUGUUCCAAAAUGUCUUGAUGUUUUUUUUUUAUUCGGUAAAAACGUUUUACUGAGAUGUGAUUUUAUUUCUCGAAGAAAACUUCAUGAAACCUUUAUUACGAAACAGGUCAGAAAAAUUGCAUACAACGAAGAGAUUCCCGAGGAAGAUCUGUCAGCUGGCGAGUGGAAGGCCUAUACCAAUCAUCACCUCUUCAUUACGACUCUCCAGCGUAAUGGCUCGCGAAUUGAUUACACUCCUUUCGCGGGAUUGUCUAACAGGUAUAUAUGGAAUGAAAUGGAAUGUCUAACAGGUAUAUAUGAAAUGGAAUGUCUAACGGGUAUAUAUGGCUUUGUACUUUACCUCUGUUCCCAAAUCUUCACUUCAGUCUGAUGUCUAACCGCCGCCAUCAUUAUUUCAUGGCGUAACUAUACGGUUUUGUCCUAAUUCUAGUUUUGUAUCCUAGCACUUCUCUCCUUAGAAAUACUCUGUCCUUUACUUCGCUGUUCAAUUACCCCAACUCUCCCUUUUCACAACCACUGACCGGAAGUUCACCAGUGAUUGGCUUGACAACCUAAAGUUCAUAAGAUUCAUUCAUUCACCAAAGGCAGCUUUCUUGAACAUUCAGUCUUCCGCCAUCUUAAUCCCCUCUCUUGCAGCACCAUGGCCUUUGAAAUAUCGGAGGAAAGAACCGUCAACAUCUACUUGCCCUACGACCCGCACAACUAUGCCGUGGCUCUUGGGUCUUAUGGGUACUACGAGUCCUUGGUGUUAUGCCAGAUCAUGAAGGGCAGCAUAUACAUUAUCAGCAGACAUGGACAUUUGUAGGAUCAGUCACUGUAUCAUACGUGUACAGAACGCGUAUUAGUUCCCUUCUUCUUCCAUUUAUUUUAAAGAAAACGGAGCAUCAUGCAGUGUAUGGGUCAGUGUGGGAAACCAUACAGAUUUGGUAAAAGAAAACAAAAAUCAGCAAUUUAUAUAACUAAAUACAUAUGCAAUGGCAGGGGGGACGGGGGGAAAUGUGGGACAUAAGGCUGAAAGGGGGACAUUAGGGCGUCCCCCCAAGACCGCAAUUUUUUGGGGAUAAAGAGUCAAAAAAGGGGACUGUCCCCCUCAAAGGGGGACGUAUGGUCACCCUAGGUAUCAGGGGUGUCAAACUCACGGCCCACGUGACAAAUUUGCCCUUGGGAUGGUCAUGAGUGGCCCGCGAGAUGACAGGAAGAUAUAUUGCCUCCUGAAAUGACGAUGUCAUGAAUAUACGUGAUAUAUGAAUAAGAGAGAGAAAAUUAAUAAGUAACCUUUAUUUUAUUAUGGCAAUAGUAAGUACAGUAAUUAUUCAUAUUGCUAUUUAUAGUAAUACAGCUAUUGCAGCUAUUAUAACGGGAAGAUGCUUAUAUAUUUGAAAAUCACUAAUCAGUUUAACGGACCGAAGCCGCAGCCAUUAGUGGUAUCCGAACGCAAUCAUGAGCAGCCAAACGUUAUUUCAUCACAACUGAUGGAGCUCCAGCCAUGCUUGGGUCGAGGUCGGGUUUCCAAGCAAAAGUAAAAUCCAAAGCACCAAAUGCAGUCGGUGUGAACGGCUUCAUUCAUCGGGAGGCUCUGGCUUCUAAAUCGCUUCCUUCUGGGCUUCUCACAAUUUUCACUUUGUAUUGUCAAGGUCGUGAACUAUGUGAAAAACUCUGCCCUCAACACGAGACUGUUCCAGCAACUGUCAUGACAUGGAAUCCGAACAUAGUUCCUUGCUCGUUUAUACAUCCGUCAGGUGGUUGUCUGCAGGGAGAUUUUUGUCCCGCUUCUUCUCUCUUCGCCAGAAAAAAUGUGACCUGUUGGAGAUAUUGAAAUCAGAACACUUUGAGCUCUGCCUUGCUUAUCUUGUGGACAUAUUUGAAAUCUUCAACCAGCUGAACUUGAGACUCCAAGGAAAUUUUUCAAACUUGCUCAGCCACUGUGACUCAAUACAUGCAUUUUUGGCCAAAUUGGAGCUGUAUAAGAGAGUGAGAGUAGGAAAAUUUAUGUUUCCAUCAUUGAAUGAAGUUCUUGCUGAUGGUCAGCUUUCAAGCACCUUGUCCAAGGAAAUCAUGAUCAUUUGUCUCAGUUAGAUGAUGAAUUUCGCCGUUACUUUCCUGACUUAAGCCCUCAGCAUGCAGGAUUAGCAAAAAAUCCGUUCUUAUGUCAGGAUGAU
Macrobrachium nipponense is the source of this 3602-nucleotide long non-coding RNA. RefSeq lists it as uncharacterized. The transcript has 3 exons. Lineage: Eukaryota; Metazoa; Arthropoda; Malacostraca; Decapoda; Palaemonidae. The record is from RefSeq and is a predicted model, not a curated record.